GAGGAAAGUCCGGGCUCCAUAGGGCAGGGUGCCAGGUAACGCCUGGGGGGGAAACCCACGACCAGUGCAACAGAGAGCAAACCGCCGAUGGCCCGCGCAAGCGGGAUCAGGUAAGGGUGAAAGGGUGCGGUAAGAGCGCACCGCGCGGCUGGUAACAGUCCGUGGCACGGUAAACUCCACCCGGAGCAAGGCCAAAUAGGGGUUCACAAGGUACGGCCCGUACUGAACCCGGGUAGGCUGCUUGAGCCAGUGAGCGAUUGCUGGCCUAGAUGAAUGACUGUCCACGACAGAACCCGGCUUA
RNAcentral lists this RNase P RNA (301 nucleotides) under Yokenella regensburgei ATCC 43003. RNAcentral describes it as "RNA component of RNase P". It matches the Rfam family "Bacterial RNase P class A", at positions 43 to 351 of the family's 367-position model. Rfam says of the family: Ribonuclease P (RNase P) is a ubiquitous endoribonuclease, found in archaea, bacteria and eukarya as well as chloroplasts and mitochondria. Its best characterised activity is the generation of mature 5'-ends of tRNAs by cleaving the 5'-leader elements of precursor-tRNAs. The record is from RNAcentral. Lineage: Bacteria; Pseudomonadati; Pseudomonadota; Gammaproteobacteria; Enterobacterales; Enterobacteriaceae.